AGAUUGAACGCUGGCGGCAUGCUUUACACAUGCAAGUCGAACGGCAGCACGGGGGCAACCCUGGUGGCGAGUGGCGAACGGGUGAGUAAUAUAUCGGAACGUACCCGGAAAUGGGGGAUAACGUAGCGAAAGUUACGCUAAUACCGCAUAUGCCCUGAGGGGGAAAGCGGGGGAUUCGUAAGAGCCUCGCGUUUUCGGAGCGGCCGAUAUCGGAUUAGCUAGUAGGUGAGGUAAAGGCUCACCUAGGCGACGAUCCGUAGCUGGUCUGAGAGGACGACCAGCCACACUGGAACUGAGACACGGUCCAGACUCCUACGGGAGGCAGCAGUGGGAAUUUGGACAAUGGGCGCAAGCCUGAUCCAGCCAUGCCGCGUGAGUGAAGAAGGCCGUUCGGGUUAGUAAG
Molecule: ribosomal RNA, 403 nt
Filed under: uncultured soil bacterium
Lineage: Bacteria
Description: bacterial SSU rRNA
Rfam family: Bacterial small subunit ribosomal RNA
Source: RNAcentral